Passer domesticus (house sparrow) is the source of this 758-nucleotide long non-coding RNA. RefSeq lists it as uncharacterized. Lineage: Eukaryota; Metazoa; Chordata; Aves; Passeriformes; Passeridae. The record is from RefSeq and is a predicted model, not a curated record. The transcript has 3 exons.
GGAAGGGUGAGGUUGGUCUCUUUAAGGGAUACACAUGGGGCAGAGAAAUGCCCAUUCCCUAAGCAGUGAUUCUCUGUGAAGAGUGAAGAAUACAAUCUGAGGCAAACUGGAGAGGCAAGAGGACGAUUUUAGACAGCAGGCUUGCUGGGGGCCAAGAGUGGUUAACCUGUGUAUGAUGUCAUUGCUGUGCCAGCACCAAAGCAGCAGUUCUAAGUGUUCAGAACCUUACUACUCAUUCUGGAUUUCAGGCAGCAAGCCACUGUGAGUUUGGAUGAAAAUUCAAGAACUAAGUUCAUAUGAAUAUACUAAUGAAAGGGCCAGUAUUAUACAAAAAUACAGAUUACAUGAUGUUGGAAGCUGAAAAAACUGGAAUUUCACCAAGCCCUGGAGGUGGAGGACAGGAUUUCUCACUUGGCUUGGGUCCGUGUCUUGGUCCAGCACUGUGGAUGAGUACAAAUACAAAAGGUAAAAGAAAUUAAACUAAAAAGGGGAAGGGUCAGGAAUGAAAAGUAAACUGAAAAGACCCUGAGCGUGUUGGACAAGAGCCGUGCAGUUUCUGCUGUGAUAAGCCUGAAGAGUCAAGACAAACCUUUCCCCCCUGCUUGUGAGUCUGUUCCUUCUAUUGCUGCUGUGCCCAGGUGAAGUUGUUUCAGUGGCUACCACUGCCUGACUAAUUCACACUUUCCUCCAAAAAAUCUGCAAAAAUCCACCCACAAAAAUUGCCUAGGAAAUUUAGUAACCAGUAAGACUGUCAGUUU